RNAcentral lists this ribosomal RNA (119 nucleotides) under Pteropus alecto (black flying fox). Lineage: Eukaryota; Metazoa; Chordata; Mammalia; Chiroptera; Pteropodidae. The record is from RNAcentral.
GUCUAUGGCCAUGCCACCCUGAACAUGCCCAAUCUCAUCUGAUCUCAGAAGCUAAGCAGGGUCGGGCCUGGUUAGUACUUGGAUGGGAGACCACCUAGAAAGACCAGGUGCUAUAGACA